Lactuca sativa (garden lettuce) is the source of this 735-nucleotide long non-coding RNA. RefSeq lists it as uncharacterized. NCBI's taxonomy places the organism in Eukaryota, Viridiplantae, Streptophyta, Magnoliopsida, Asterales, Asteraceae. The record is from RefSeq and is a predicted model, not a curated record.
GAUUCAAUAUUCGUCCAAACAUCCAAAUCUAGUCCUGUGGUCCAUUGCGGGCAAGGAAAUAAUGAAAUAAUUUGUCAAAAAUUUGUAAAAAACAACAAGAGAAGUCAAUUUUAAUUCCAUUAUAUCAAAAUAAAGGAGGGUCAAGAUUUGAAGUAAUAAAAAAUUUAGUACUUUUUUACGCAUGCUUAAAGGAAAACAGAAUGUUUACUCAACGUGAGCCUGAGAUAAAUUAAAAUCCCUUGAUUUUCUCUGAACUCUCUCUCCUCUCUCUCUCCUUUCCAACACACACAUACAUUCACAUGCCCUACCCUAUCAAACUUCCCAGAAGCAAGACGCCAAUGUUUCCCUUUGUAGCCGGAGGUCAGCCGAUCACACUCACAUAUAAGAUUAAAACUAUCUCCUUUGGUUUUGGUUUAAAACAUGGAGCAAAAUUUGAAGAUGGUGUACUUGAUCAUGUUAUUGCUUUCCAUAUGUGGUUUGUUUAUCUCAUCUGUUUUGGCUAACAAAGGCUCGUUAGUGAAGUUUGAGAAGUGUAGUCCCUCAGUUGGAUCAUGUCAGAUAAGCUGUCCAGUUGGGCUGCCUAAGUGUUGUAACGGUUUUUGCCUCUGUUUAGGAUGCCCUUAACUUUGAUUAUUGUAUUUAAUAUCAUAAAUAUAAAAGGUUGGUGUCCAAAUGUGUUUCUUUUUUUCUAUUAUGUUAUGUUUCGAAAUUGUAUUAUGUUAAACAUGAAAUGGU